Molecule: transfer RNA, 77 nt
Filed under: Gammaproteobacteria bacterium
Lineage: Bacteria; Pseudomonadati; Pseudomonadota; Gammaproteobacteria
Description: tRNA-Arg
Rfam family: tRNA
About the family: Transfer RNA (tRNA) molecules are approximately 80 nucleotides in length. Their secondary structure includes four short double-helical elements and three loops (D, anti-codon, and T loops).
Source: RNAcentral
CCAYCCGUAGCUCAGCUGGAUAGAGCGAUGCCCUCCGGAGGCAUAGGUCAGAGGUUCGAAUCCUCUCGGGUGGGCCA